RNAcentral lists this ribosomal RNA (401 nucleotides) under uncultured Desulfosporosinus sp. RNAcentral's name for it is "bacterial SSU rRNA". It matches the Rfam family "Bacterial small subunit ribosomal RNA", at positions 423 to 816 of the family's 1533-position model. The record is from RNAcentral. Lineage: Bacteria; Bacillati; Bacillota; Clostridia; Eubacteriales; Desulfitobacteriaceae.
UUGUAAGUACUGUCUUUGGGGAAGAAAAUUCCUGUUGAAAAUAUUGAAGUGACAUGACAGUACCUAAGGACGAACCCCCGGCUAACUACGUGCCAGCAGCCGCGGUAAUACAUAGGGGGCAAUCGUUGUCCAGAAUUAUUGUGCGUAAAGGGCGCGUAGGCGGAUUUUUAACUCCGGUGUGAAAGAUCAGGGCUCAACCCUGAAAUUGCAUCGGAAACUGGGGAUCUUGAGGACAGGAGAGGAAAUUGGAAUUCCACGUGUAGCGGUGAAAUGCUUAAAUAUGUGGAGGAACACCAUUGGCAAAGGCGACUUUCUGGACUGUAACUGACGCUAAGGCGCGAAACCGUGGGGAUCAAACAGGAUUAAAUACCCUGGUAGUCCACGCCGUAAACAAUGACUGC